UAGGGAAUCUUCCGCAAUGGGCGAAAGCUUGACGGAGCAACGCCGCGUGAGUGAUGAAGGUCUUCGGAUCGUAAAACUCUGUUAUUAGGGAAGAACAAAUGUGUAAGUAACUAUGCACGUCUUGACGGUACCUAAUCAGAACGCCACGGCUAACUACGUGCCAGCAGCCGCGGUAAUACGUAGGUGGCAAGCGUUAUCCGGAAUUAUUGGGCGUAAAGCGCGCGUAGGCGGUGUUUUAAGUCUGAUGUGAAAGCCCACGGCUCAACCGUGGAGGGUCAUUGGAAACUGGAAAACUUGAGUGCAGAAGAGGAAAGUGGAAUUCCAUGUGUAGCGGUGAAAUGCGCAGAGAUAUGGAGGAACACCAGUGGCGAAGGCGACUUUCUGGUCUGUAACUGACGCUGAUGUACGAAAGCGUGGGGAUCAAACAGG
Molecule: ribosomal RNA, 429 nt
Filed under: Actinomycetes bacterium
Lineage: Bacteria; Bacillati; Actinomycetota; Actinomycetes
Description: Actinobacteria bacterium partial 16S ribosomal RNA
Rfam family: Bacterial small subunit ribosomal RNA
Source: RNAcentral